UACGUAGGGAGCGAGCGUUGUCCGGAAUUACUGGGCGUAAAGAGCUCGUAGGCGGUUUGUCGCGUUGUUCGUGAAAACUCACAACUCAAUUGUGGGCGUGCGGGCGAUACGGGCAGACUGGAGUACUGCAGGGGAGACUGGAAUUCCUGGCGUAGCGGUGGAAUGCGCAGAUAUCAGGAGGAACACCGGUGGCGAAGGCGGGUCUCUGGGCAGUAACUGACGCUGAGGAGCGAAAGCGUGGGGAGCGAACAGG
Molecule: ribosomal RNA, 253 nt
Filed under: uncultured bacterium
Lineage: Bacteria
Description: partial 16S ribosomal RNA
Rfam family: Bacterial small subunit ribosomal RNA
Source: RNAcentral